UACGGAGGGUGCAAGCGUUAUCCGGAUUCACUGGGUUUAAAGGGUGCGUAGGCGGGCAGGUAAGUCCGUGGUGAAAUCUCUGAGCUUAACUCAGAAACUGCCAUGGAUACUAUUUGUCUUGAAUAUUGUGGAGGCAAGCGGAAUAUGUCAUGUAGCGGUGAAAUGCUUAGAUAUGACAUAGAACACCCAUUGCGAAGGCAGCUUGCUACACAAUGAUUGACGCUGAGGCACGAAAGCGUGGGGAUCAAACAGG
RNAcentral lists this ribosomal RNA (253 nucleotides) under uncultured bacterium. RNAcentral describes it as "partial 16S ribosomal RNA". It matches the Rfam family "Bacterial small subunit ribosomal RNA", at positions 524 to 776 of the family's 1533-position model. The record is from RNAcentral.